This is a long non-coding RNA of Catharus ustulatus (Swainson's thrush), 1064 nucleotides long. RefSeq lists it as uncharacterized. Lineage: Eukaryota; Metazoa; Chordata; Aves; Passeriformes; Turdidae. The record is from RefSeq and is a predicted model, not a curated record. The transcript has 2 exons.
AUGAUGUGCAUGGUGCAGGCGACGAGGAACACCAUGAGGAUCAGCACGCGGAACUUGCGGACCAGGAGCAUUUUCAUGGCCAGGGCGGCGGGGAUCACAACAAACAGGGAAAACUGGCUCUUGGAGAGAAACCGGCAUCAGACACAGGCGCUGAUUAAAUAAAAUAAAAAAAAAUAUAUGGGGAGGAGGAGAGGGAAAAGAAAAAUAUUAAGAAAACCUGUGCGGAAAGGCGACAGAAGAAAAAAAAUCAUCCAUAAUAUUUGGCUGUGCUGGAAACGCUGACUCCUUUCCCUUGUAUUUGAGCAGUGAUGCAGCAGAAGCGCUCCCCGCUCGUUCUUGCUCCUUCUCUUCGCUCAGACUCUUUAAGAACAUUGGCUGGAAAAUCAUUUUCUUACAGCAGUUCCAGUUUCUUCAUCCAUUGCGUCCAGUGCUUGGGGAAGAUUAGUAUGUUCAACUGAGAUCGAGUCUGGGUGGCUGCUGUAUCCGAGCUGGGCUUGUGCUUUGGCUUAGGUUGGUUUUUUUUGGCUGCAAAACUGUCUGAUGGCACAACUGCAACAUAAAGGUUAAAUAUGGCACAGGAAAAAAAAAGGAAAGAGCGGGGAGAAGGAAGGAUUAGAGGAAAGAAACUAAUAUAAAUCAGUAGAGGUUCUUUUUAGUGAAGAGGUCUUUGAUCUCUGCUGGGUCUUACAGAUCUUUUAAAGAGAGAGAGAGAAAGGAAGAGAGAAGGGGGGAGAGAAGGGAAAAGCGGGGAGAGAUCUUUGGCAGGUGCAGAGUGAAAACCUCUUUCAGCUACACUGAAUUCUGGAGACUGGUUGGACUAGUAGCUCUGCAGCUCCAGCUUUCAGUGGGUGUGUUAAAUAUUAUGAGCGAGCCAUGAUUCCUGCCUUCCUCACGUCAUAGUUAGGAGAUUGGCUAAAUAAACGCUACAGUGAUAGUAACAGGAAAACCUCAACCAAAAGAGGGUUUUUUUUCCCUCCUCUCCUCCCUCCUUCCCACCCCCCCUUUUCAUUCUACUGCAGCUCCAACUGGGGCAAGGAGAGGGCGUCUGUUCCACAAAGGUUUGG